This 916-nucleotide ribosomal RNA is filed under the name uncultured organism. Its description in RNAcentral is "bacterial SSU rRNA". It matches the Rfam family "Bacterial small subunit ribosomal RNA", at positions 574 to 1488 of the family's 1533-position model. The record is from RNAcentral.
GGCGGAAUACCAAGCGUCUUGUGAAAUCCCUCGGCUCAACCGAGGAAUUGCAGGCCGAACUGGUAUUCCUGAGGCAGGUAAGGGUGAGUGGAACUCUUGGUGGACCGGUGGAAUGCGUAGAUAUCAAGAGGAACGCCGGAGGUGAAGACGACUCACUGGGCCUGUCCUGACGCUGAGGUGCGAAAGCCAGGGGAGCGAACGGGAUUAGAUACCCCGGUAGUCCUGGCCAUAAACGAUGUCCACUAGGUCGAUGACAUUCUGACAUGGUGUCGGCCGAAAGAAAACCGUUAAGUGGACCGCCUGGGGAGUACGGUCGCAAGGCUAAAACUCAAAGGAAUUGACGGGGGCUCACACAAGCGGUGGAGCAUGUUGCUUAAUUCGAUGCAACGCGAAGAACCUUAUCCUGGGCUUGACAUGCUUGGAUGCCCCCCUGGAAACAGGGAUCGGCUGCCCUUCGGGGUGAAACUUGCACAGGUGCUGCAUGGCUGUCGUCAGCUCGUGUCGUGAGAUGUUGGGUUAAGUCCCGUAACGAGCGAAACCCUUGUCGUUAGUUGCCAGCGGGUCAUGCCGGGGACUCUAACGAGACUGCCGGUGUCAAACCGGAGGAAGGUGGGGAUGACGUCAAGUCCUCAUGGCCUUUAUGCCCAGGGCCGCAAACGUGCUACAAUGGCUGGUACAAACCGACGCGAGACCGCGAGGUGGAGCAAAUCGGAAAAAGCCAGCCCCAGUUCGGAUUGCAGUCUGCAACUCGACUGCAUGAAGUCGGAAUCGCUAGUAAUCGCGCAUCAGCGUGGCGCGGUGAAUAUGUUCCUGAGCAUUGUACACACCGCCCGUCAAGUCAUGGAAGCUGGGAGCACCACGAAGUCGUGGACAAUUCAGUCCUGCCGAAGUGAGCUCGGUGACUGGGACUAAGUCG